AAUCCUCGCUGAACCCGGCGCGGUUUCCCCAGCGCUGCUCCACGCCGCAGUCCAGCGCCUGGAGUCCGCGCGCCCCGAGCCCCUGCCCGCUCAUGCGCAGCUGGGUCACCCAGGUGCACCCACUUCCUUGCUGUCCCGCCGCCCUCCCUGCCCCCACCCCGCCUAGGCCCUGGGUGUCCCUUCUCCAUCCUCCCUGGCGCCUCUGCCUCAGGCCACCUGGCCGUCCUCCUGGGCUCCCCGCUCGGGGGCGGCCCCUGGUCCGACGGUGCCGCAGACGCGCGCGCACAGGCCAGUCCCGCGGAGAGGCUGCUCUCAGGGGCUAGGCGGGGGGCUGAGUCAGAGGCUGGGGCCUGCCAGGAGCGGGGCGGCCUGGGGCGCAGCAGCAUUGGAGCUGAAGGCGAGGGCGGCCCGCGCCGGUUGGGGAGCAGGGCCUAGAAUUUACUUCACGACUACCAGCGUGGAAACUGCAGAGGGGCUGCCACAUCGCUGCCAGGGCCUGCCCUGGGGCCUUGGAUCCCGCCGGCUUCUCUCUCCACCCGCCUCUGUCCCACGUCUCCACCUGCCGUCCUGUUUGGUGCUUGGAUCCACUAAUGCCCAGUCAGCUUUCACGAAACGUCGGAUGUAUUUAUUUUUUUUAAUAUCUGGGGUACACGUGCAGGAUGUGCAGGCUUGUUGCAUAGGUAAACGUGUGCCAUGGUGGUUUGCUGCACCUAUCAACCCGUCACGUAGGUCAUCAAUCUCCAGGUGGUCCUCAGUGAGAGAUAGGUCCUCUCAAUAUUCAAGAGCCACCCUUCUACAGGGGACCCCUGGACUGCCCAUCAGGGGGACAGGACAGAGGCACAAUCCUGCCCGUCUCCCUGGAUACCGCUCCCUGGCUGGCCACCACUUUCACUAACCCAUGGAGCCAACCGUGCCCUGACAGCAAGAGGCCAAUACUCACAGAACCACCACCGCUGCCCCUCUGUCAGCAGACAGCAGUUACAGAAGACUGACCUUUGUCCAUUUCCCUCAAGAACUGGGGUCUUGGCCUCCUGCGGGGGGAAAUGUUAGUGUGGGUAGCUAGGGGGUAUGAGCAGGGCAGGAGAGGGCUCCCCACCACCACACACACACAACAGGUGUGCUGGCCACCAUGAGGUGAUGGUCAGGUAGUUGUUAACUGUCUCUAAAGUAAUAAUUGGUCACAGCCAGCGCCAGGGAAAGACAGCCUCCUAACAGAUAGACAACAGCUGAAGCUGGUGAUCAGCAGCUUCCCGUUAAGAUCUCAGGAGCUGGGUGGGUGGGGAGAAGUAACACAAGACCCCGCAUUAUGUCACUGUAUCAAACCCCAAGUCAGAAGGUCAAACCACACACUGGUCUUUCAAGGUGCCCUCCUAGCCUUCUUCCAGGCGUACUUUCCUUCCUCCUUUAAAGCUUUUUAAUAAACUUCACUUCUGCUCUGAAGCGUGCCUCGGU
RNAcentral lists this long non-coding RNA (1452 nucleotides) under Homo sapiens (human). RNAcentral describes it as "HSALNT0387806". The record is from RNAcentral. Lineage: Eukaryota; Metazoa; Chordata; Mammalia; Primates; Hominidae.